AAUGGUUUGAGUGCCAAUCGACCGUUGAUUCACACAAUUGGUCAUCGCGCUUGGUUCAAAAGUCAAUGGUGCGAAGCUACCGUGUGUUGGAUUAUGACUGAGCACCUCUAAGUCAAAAUCUGUGCUAGAAGCGACACUUGUCACUCCUCAACUGAAUCUUGAGCCACAAUAGGGGUGUUGCUUCAGCACCCCUAGGGGACUGUUUCACUUGCAAACCUCGGUCGAGGUAGCUUUGAAGUUCAAUUUCAAACAGUCAUUGAGAAAAAUCCUUUGUAGAUAACUUAAAUACGCGACGGGGUAUUGUAAGUGGCAGAGUGGCCUUUCUGCCACAAUCCACUAAGAUUCAUUCCUUAUUCGCCUUGAUUC
Non-coding RNA from Picea glauca (white spruce), 366 nucleotides. The record is from Rfam. Lineage: Eukaryota; Viridiplantae; Streptophyta; Pinopsida; Pinales; Pinaceae.